GACGGAGGAUGCAAGUGUUAUCCGGAAUCACUGGGCGUAAAGCGUCUGUAGGUGGUUAAAUAAGUCAACUGUUAAAUCUUGAGGCUUAACCUCAAAAUCGCAGUAGAAACUAUUAGACUAGAGUAUAGUAGGGGUAAAGGGAAUUUCCAGUGGAGCGGUGAAAUGCGUAGAGAUUUGAAAGAGCACCGAUGGCGAAGGCACUUUACUGGGCUAUUACUAACACUCAGAGACGAAAGCUAGGGUAGCAAAUGGG
Molecule: ribosomal RNA, 253 nt
Filed under: uncultured bacterium
Lineage: Bacteria
Description: partial 16S ribosomal RNA
Rfam family: Bacterial small subunit ribosomal RNA
Source: RNAcentral